UACGUAGGGUGCGAGCGUUGUCCGGAAUUAUUGGGCGUAAAGAGCUCGUAGGCGGUCUGUCGCGUCGAUCGUGAAAACUUGGGGCUUAACCCUGAGCUUGCGGUCGAUACGGGCAUGACUGGAGUUCGGCAGGGGAGACUGGAAUUCCUGGUGUAGCAGUGAAAUGCGUAGAUAUCAGGAGGAAUACCGAUGGCGAAGGCAGGUCUCUGGGCUGACACUGACGCUCAUGCACGAAAGCGUGGGGAGCAAACAGG
This 254-nucleotide ribosomal RNA is filed under the name uncultured bacterium. Its description in RNAcentral is "partial 16S ribosomal RNA". It matches the Rfam family "Bacterial small subunit ribosomal RNA", at positions 524 to 776 of the family's 1533-position model. The record is from RNAcentral.